GUGUUUGCUUCAGCAGCACAUACACUAAAAAAUUAUAAUAGCACAGAGAAGAUGAGCAUGGCCCCCGUGUAAGGAUGGCUCUCAAAUUCAUGAAGUGUUCCCUGUUUUC
Molecule: small nuclear RNA, 109 nt
Filed under: Catagonus wagneri (Chacoan peccary)
Lineage: Eukaryota; Metazoa; Chordata; Mammalia; Artiodactyla; Tayassuidae
Source: RNAcentral